GGCUUGCUCUCAUGCUCUCUUGUCCUUCCGCCUUCUGCCAUGGGAUGACACAGCAAGAAACCCCUUGGCAGAUGUGGGCCUCUCGACCUUGGACUUCUCAGCUUCCAGAACUAGGAGCCAUUGAAGAAUCCUGUUGUCCUAUCCCAGAAGGAUCAAGGGGACAACACUGAUAUCCUGACCGCUGACCAUCCACCACCACUUAAAGAGGUCCCCAAACCCCCGGCUGUUUACCAAUACCAGUCUGUGACCUCUUAGGAACCGAGCUGCACAGCAGGAGGUGAAUGGUGGAGAAGCGAGCAUUAUCGCCUGAGUUCCACCUCCUGUCAGUUUUAAAAAGAAUAACAGAAAGAAAGAAGUGGCUGAAACCUAAAUGCCAUAUGGAGAAGACAGCUAAUUGCCACACUCUCCUCUUUGGUCUUUCCUGGUACACAGCAUACAAGCCCACAGAUUGAGGACUCUGCACUUGCUGUUCUCUCUGCCUGGAGCUCUAUGGCUCCAGAUAGACUCCUGCCAACUCCUUCGCCUUGUUCAGGUUACCUUCAUUAAAUGUCAGCUUAAAUGUGUGCCUACUUUUUGCCCUACCUGGAAUUGCAAGCACCUCUCACCACUGUGCUCCCAUUCUCCUUAACUUAAGCCACUUUUAUUUUCAUAAUAAAGCCACAUAUUUUUUCUUAUUAUAUCAUAAUCACACUGUAUAAUUUAUAUUUUAUUACUUUUGUUUGUAUACUUAUUCUAUGUUUCUGUUC
Molecule: long non-coding RNA, 746 nt
Filed under: Pongo abelii (Sumatran orangutan)
Lineage: Eukaryota; Metazoa; Chordata; Mammalia; Primates; Hominidae
Description: lincRNA
Source: RNAcentral